CAGUGAUAAACUGGAGGAAGGUGGGGAUGACGUCAAGUCAUCAUGGCCCUUACGACCAGGGCUACACACGUGCUACAAUGGCGCAUACAAAGAGAAGCGACCUCGCGAGAGCAAGCGGACCUCAUAAAGUGCGUCGUAGUCCGGAUUGGAGUCUGCAACUCGACUCCAUGAAGUCGGAAUCGCUAGUAAUCGUGGAUCAGAAUGCCACGGUGAAUACGUUCCCGGGCCUUGUACACACCGCCCGUCACACCAUGGGAGUGGGUUGCAAAAGAAGUAGGUAGCUUAACCUUCGGGAGGGCGCUUACCACUUUGUGAUUCAUGACUGGGGUGAAGUCGUAACAAGGU
This 345-nucleotide ribosomal RNA is filed under the name Salmonella enterica subsp. enterica. RNAcentral describes it as "partial 16S ribosomal RNA". It matches the Rfam family "Bacterial small subunit ribosomal RNA", at positions 1153 to 1497 of the family's 1533-position model. RNAcentral also lists the same sequence under 1 other name. Lineage: Bacteria; Pseudomonadati; Pseudomonadota; Gammaproteobacteria; Enterobacterales; Enterobacteriaceae. The record is from RNAcentral.